CUACGGGGGGCUCCAGUGGGGAAUCUUAGACAAUGGGCGCAAGCCUGAUCUAGCCAUGCCGCGUGAGUGAUGAAGGCCUUAGGGUCGUAAAGCUCUUUCGCUGGGGAAGAUAAUGACGGUACCCAGUAAAGAAACCCCGGCUAACUCCGUGCCAGCAGCCGCGGUAAUACGGAGGGGGUUAGCGUUGUUCGGAAUUACUGGGCGGAAAGCGCGCGUAGGCGGACUGUUAAGUCGGGGGUGAAAUCCCGGGGCUCAACCCCGGAACGGCCUUCGAUACUGGCAGUCUGGAGUUCGAGAGAGGUGAGUGGAAUUCCGAGUGUAGAGGUGAAAUUCGUAGAUAUUCGGAGGAACACCAGUGGCGAAGGCGGCUCACUGGCUCGAUACUGACGCUGAGGUGCGAAAGUGUGGGGAGCAAACAGGAUUAGAUACCCCUGUAGUC
RNAcentral lists this ribosomal RNA (439 nucleotides) under uncultured bacterium. RNAcentral describes it as "partial 16S ribosomal RNA". It matches the Rfam family "Bacterial small subunit ribosomal RNA", at positions 339 to 795 of the family's 1533-position model. The record is from RNAcentral.